GACGAACGCUGGCGGCGUGCUUAACACAUGCAAGUCGAGCGGUAAGGCCCUUUCGGGGGUACACGAGCGGCGAACGGGUGAGUAACACGUGGGUGACCUGCCCUCAGCUCUGGGAUAAGCCUGGGAAACCGGGUCUAAUACUGGAUAUGACUCCAUGACGCAUGUUGUGGGGUGGAAAGCCUUGUGCGGCUGAGGAUGGGCCCGCGGCCUAUCAGCUUGUUGGUGGGGUGANGGCCUACCAAGGCGACGACGGGUAGCCGGCCUGAGAGGGCGACCGGCCACACUGGGACUGAGACACGGCCCAGACUCCUACGGGAGGCAGCAGUGGGGAAUCUUGCGCAAUGGGCGAAAGCCUGACGCAGCGACGCCGCGUGAGGGAUGACGGCCUCGGUUGUAACU
RNAcentral lists this ribosomal RNA (399 nucleotides) under uncultured bacterium. RNAcentral's name for it is "bacterial SSU rRNA". It matches the Rfam family "Bacterial small subunit ribosomal RNA", at positions 28 to 430 of the family's 1533-position model. The record is from RNAcentral.